Orbicella faveolata is the source of this 371-nucleotide long non-coding RNA. NCBI's taxonomy places the organism in Eukaryota, Metazoa, Cnidaria, Anthozoa, Scleractinia, Merulinidae. The record is from RefSeq and is a predicted model, not a curated record.
UGUCUGUGUCUAUAAAAUGUUUUCUUUGAGUAGUUGCCUGUCUGUCUGUCUGUCUGUCUGUCGGUCGGUCUACGUGUGACGGCUUGUCUGUUUCUGUUUUCCUUCUGUUUUACUGUCUGGAAGUCUGCUUCUUUUCUUGUGUUUCUGUUCUUGUUUGUUUGUUUAGAUACUGGUUUAUUAUUUGGCUCCAUGUUGGUCCUCCAAACGUUACCUUGGACCCAGUCUCCCAGGAGUUAAAGGAGGACACUCCAGCCGCCAGGUGGCUAAAUGUAGUGCGGGGAAAAAAGGUUCCGAGGGAAAAGUUUAUCUACCACUCGCCUGAGAUGACGGACGAGGGCAAAGCCAAUUCCUGAAAGCCUGGUCAGAGAAAG